GACGAACGCUGGCGGCAUGCCUAACACAUGCAAGUCGAACGGUAAGGCUUCCUUCGGGAAGUACACGAGUGGCGAACGGGUGAGUAACACGUGGGUAACCUACCCUUGACUGGGGAACACCCGGGGGAACCUUCGGUAAAAACGGCUUACCGUGCUUUCCCCCAAGGUGGGUUACAAAGCCUCCGGCGGUUAAGGAUGGGCCGGCGGCAGUUUAGCUUGUUGUUGAGGUAACGGUUUACCAAGGCGACGAUCUGUAGGUGGUCUGCGAGGACGAUCAGCCACACUGGAACUGAGACACGGUCCAGACUCCUACGGGAGGCAGCAGUGGGGAAUCUUGCGCAAUGGGCGAAAGCCUGACGCAGCGAUGCCGCGUGAGGGAAGACGGCCUUAGGGUUGUAAACCUCUUUCAGCAGGGACGAACACAGACGGUACCUGCAGAAGAAGCCCCGGCUAACUACGUGCCAGCCGCCGCCGUAA
Molecule: ribosomal RNA, 477 nt
Filed under: uncultured bacterium
Lineage: Bacteria
Description: partial 16S ribosomal RNA
Rfam family: Bacterial small subunit ribosomal RNA
Source: RNAcentral